Molecule: ribosomal RNA, 540 nt
Filed under: Phoma sp. GSM1_4_6
Lineage: Eukaryota; Fungi; Ascomycota; Dothideomycetes; Pleosporales; Didymellaceae
Description: eukaryotic LSU rRNA
Rfam family: 5.8S ribosomal RNA (bases 180-333)
Source: RNAcentral
AAAAAAGUUUUCGGUACGUGACCUGCGGAGGAUCAUUACCUAGAGUUAGUGGGCUUUGCCAGCUAUCUCUUACCCAUGUUUUAUGAGCACUUACGUUUCCCCAGUGGGUUCCCCCACCGAUUGGACCACUUAAACCCUUUGCAGUUUUGUAAUCAUCGUCUGAAAAACUUAAUAUUUACAACUUUCAACAACGGAUCUCUUGGUUCGGGCAUCGAUGAAGAACGCAGCGAAAUGCGAUAAGUAGUGUGAAUUGCAGAAUUCAGUGAAUCAUCGAAUCUUUGAACGCACAUUGCGCCCCUUGGUAUUCCAUGGGGCAUGCCUGUUCGAGCGUCAUUUGUACCUUCAAGCUCUGCUUGGUGUUGGGUGUUUGUCUCGCCUCUGCUUGUAGACUCGCCUUAAAACAAUUGGCAGCCGGCGUAUUGAUUUCGGAGCGCAGUACAUCUCGCGCUUUGCACUCGUAACGACGACCUCCAAAAGUACAUUUUUACACUCUUGACCUCGGAUCAGGUAGGGAUACCCGCUGAACUUAACAAAAUACCC